AUACGUAGGGUGCGAGCGUUAUCCGGAAUUACUGGGCGUAAAGAGCUCGUAGGUGGUUUGUCGCGUCGUCUGUGAAAUUCCGGGGCUUAACUCCGGGCGUGCAGGCGAUACGGGCAUAACUUGAGUACUGUAGGGGAGACUGGAAUUCCUGGUGUAGCGGUGAAAUGCGCAGAUAUCAGGAGGAACACCGGUGGCGAAGGCGGGUCUCUGGGCAGUAACUGACGCGGAGGUGCGAAAGCAUGGGUAGCGAACAGGAUUAGAUACCCUGGUAGUCCAUGCCGUAAACGGUGGGCGCUAGGUGUAGGGGCCUUCCACGACUUCUGUGCCGUAGCUAACGCAUUAAGCGCCCCGCCUGGGGAGUACGGCCGCAAGGCUAAAACUCAAAGGAAUUGACGGGG
Molecule: ribosomal RNA, 398 nt
Filed under: uncultured bacterium
Lineage: Bacteria
Description: partial 16S ribosomal RNA
Rfam family: Bacterial small subunit ribosomal RNA
Source: RNAcentral